UCUCUACCUCAAGACUGGGCUUACGCAGUUACCCAGAUUAAAUGCUGAGCAGCUGUGCAGAUCUGCUGGCCAGAUACCAACUUAGUAUCAGGGAGUAAGGACCACAUCCUGACAGCCUGAGCACCGACACAGAUGGGGAUAAACGCUGACUUGUCUCCAGCUCCUCCUCGUCUUCCCUAGAUGGUACAGCUGUAGAGGCCCGAUUCUCUGGGCAUCUCGAUACUGAUCAGCCUUCAUGACUUCGUGGCAGACACAUCUGGCCUUUUUGAAGGAGUAAACCCAGGUCUCAAAUAUCUCUGCAUCCCAAAGAAAAUUAAUGUUGGACAUGGUGACUUGAAACUAUAAUCAAAUGAGACAAAAGGAAGAACACCAAUCAAGCCACAAACCACCAAACAGCCCCCUCUCCCACAUAAUAAGAGUAAUUGCUGCUGCUUUUUCAUUCAUGGAAUUAUCCUCAUCCUAGUUCUCCCUCGGCGUAGCGAGUAAGAAACCCAACUUGUUCACCU
This is a long non-coding RNA of Suricata suricatta (meerkat), 506 nucleotides long. RefSeq lists it as uncharacterized. The transcript is spliced from 3 exons. Lineage: Eukaryota; Metazoa; Chordata; Mammalia; Carnivora; Herpestidae. The record is from RefSeq and is a predicted model, not a curated record.